RNAcentral lists this ribosomal RNA (487 nucleotides) under uncultured bacterium. RNAcentral's name for it is "partial 16S ribosomal RNA". It matches the Rfam family "Bacterial small subunit ribosomal RNA", at positions 28 to 523 of the family's 1533-position model. The record is from RNAcentral.
GACGAACGCUGGCGGCGUGCUUCACACAUGCAAGUCGAACGGGGAUGCAGCAACAGCUUGCUUUUAUUGCAUCCUAGUGGCGGACGGGUGAGUAACCCGUGAGCAACCUGCCCGACAUACUGGGAUAACAGAGGGAAACCGUUGCUAAUACCGGAUACUCCAUUUCUGGCGCAUGUCAGAGAUGGUAAAGGGUUUACCGAUGUCGGAUGGGCCCGCGUACCAUUAGCUGGUUGUGGAGGUAACGGCUCAGCAAGGAUGCGAUGGGUAGCUGGUCUGAGAGGACGAUCAGACACACUGGAACUGAGACACGGUCCAGACUCCUACGGGAGGCAGCAGUGGGGAAUAUUGCACAAUGGGCGAAAGCCUGAUGCAGCGAGCCGCGUGGAGGAUGAAGGCCUUCGGGUCGUAAACUCCUGUCUGGGGGGAUGAACACUGACAGUACCCCCGGAGGAAGCCCCGGCUAACUACGUGCCAGCCGCCGCCGUAA